GAGUUUGAUCAUGGCUCAGAGUGAACGCUGGCGGCAGGCCUAACACAUGCAAGUCGAGCGGCAGCGCGGGGGCAACCCUGGCGGCGAGCGGCGGACGGGUGAGGAAUGCAUCGGAAUCUACCUCGUUGUGGGGGAUAACCUCGGGAAACCGGGACUAAUACCGCAUACGACCUACGGGUGAAAGUGGGGGACCGCAAGGCCUCACGCGAUGAGAUGAGCCGAUGCCGGAUUAGCUAGUUGGCGGGGUAAAGGCCCACCAAGGCGACGAUCCGUAGCUGGUCUGAGAGGAUGAUCAGCCACACUGGAACUGAGACACGGUCCAGACUCCUACGGGAGGCAGCAGUGGGGAAUAUUGGACAAUGGGCGCAAGCCUGAUCCAGCCAUGCCGCGUGUGUGAAGAAGGCCU
This 406-nucleotide ribosomal RNA is filed under the name uncultured Gammaproteobacteria bacterium. RNAcentral describes it as "bacterial SSU rRNA". It matches the Rfam family "Bacterial small subunit ribosomal RNA", at positions 9 to 417 of the family's 1533-position model. The record is from RNAcentral. Lineage: Bacteria; Pseudomonadati; Pseudomonadota; Gammaproteobacteria.